RNAcentral lists this ribosomal RNA (425 nucleotides) under uncultured bacterium. RNAcentral's name for it is "bacterial SSU rRNA". It matches the Rfam family "Bacterial small subunit ribosomal RNA", at positions 354 to 796 of the family's 1533-position model. The record is from RNAcentral.
GUGGGGAAUAUUGGACAAUGGGGGCAACCCUGAUCCAGCCAUGCCGCGUGAGUGAAGAAGGCCUUCGGGUUGUAAAGCUCUUUCAGAUGUGAAGAUGAUGACGGUAGCAUCAGAAGAAGCCCCGGCUAACUUCGUGCCAGCAGCCGCGGUAAUACGAAGGGGGCUAGCGUUGUUCGGAAUUACUGGGCGUAAAGCGCGCGUAGGCGGCGUCGUCAGUCAGGGGUGAAAUCCCGGGGCUCAACCUCGGAAUUGCCUUUGAUACUGCGAUGCUUGAGUCCGUGAGAGGAUGGUGGAAUACCCAGUGUAGAGGUGAAAUUCGUAGAUAUUGGGUGGAACACCAGUGGCGAAGGCGGCCAUCUGGCACGGUACUGACGCUGAGGUGCGAAAGCGUGGGGAGCAAACAGGAUUAGAUACCCUAGUAGUCC